This 1174-nucleotide ribosomal RNA is filed under the name Micromonospora sp. RNAcentral describes it as "bacterial SSU rRNA". It matches the Rfam family "Bacterial small subunit ribosomal RNA", at positions 101 to 1319 of the family's 1533-position model. The record is from RNAcentral. Lineage: Bacteria; Bacillati; Actinomycetota; Actinomycetes; Micromonosporales; Micromonosporaceae.
AACGGGUGAUAACACGUGAGCAACCUGCCCCAGGCUUUGGGAUAACCCCGGGAAACCGGGGUAAUACCGAAUAUGACCUUGCACCGCAUGGUGUUUGGUGGAAAGUUUUUUGCUUGGGAUGGGCUCGCGGCCUAUCACUUGUUGGUGGGGUGAUGGCCUACCAAGGCGACGACGGGUACCGGCCUGAGAGGGCGACCGGCCACACUGGGAUGAGACACGGCCCAACUCUACGGGAGGCAGCAUGGGAAUAUUGCACAUGGGCGGAAGCCUGAUGCAGCGACGCCGCGUGAGGGAUGACGGCCUUCGGGUUGUAAACCUCUUUAGCAGGGACAAGCCAAUGACGGUACCUGCAAGAAGCGCCGGCCAACUACGUGCCAGCAGCCGCGGUAAGACGUAGGGCGCGAGCGUUGUCCGGAUUUAUUGGGCGUAAAGAGCUCGUAGGCGGCUUGUCGCGUCGACCGUGAAAACUUGGGGCUCAACCCCAAGCCUGCGGUCGAUACGGGCAGGCUAGAGUUCGGUAGGGGAGACUGGAAUUCCUGGUGUAGCGGUGAAAUGCGCAGAUAUCAGGAGGAACACCGGUGGCGAAGGCGGGUCUCUGGGCCGAUACUGACGCUGAGGAGCGAAAGCGUGGGGAGCGAACAGGAUUAGAUACCCUGGUAGUCCACGCUGUAAACGUUGGGCGCUAGGUGUGGGGGGCCUCUCCGGUUCCCUGUGCCGCAGCUAACGCAUUAAGCGCCCCGCCUGGGGAGUACGGCCGCAAGGCUAAAACUCAAAGAAUUGACGGGGGCCCGCACAAGCGGCGGAGCAUGCGAUUAAUUGAUGCAACGGAAGAACCUUACGGGUUUGACAGGCCGCAAACUGUCAAGAUGGCAGGUCCUUCGGGGCGGUCACAGGUGGUGCAUGGCGGUCGUCAGCUCGUGUCGUGAGAUGUUGGGUUAAGUCCCGCAACGAGCGCAACCCUCGUUCGAUGUUGCCAGCGCGUUAUGGCGGGGACUCAUCGAAGACUGCCGGGGUCAACUCGGAGGAAGGUGGGGAUGACGUCAAGUCAUCAUGCCCCUUAUGUCCAGGGCUUCACGCAUGCUACAAUGGCCGGUACAAUGGGGUGCGAUACCGUGAGGUGGAGCGAAUCCCAAAAAACCGGUCUCAGUUCGGAUCGGGGUCUCAACUCGACCCC